ACAUGCAAGUCGAACGGUAACAGGAAGCAGCUUGCUGCUUUGCUGACGAGUGGCGGACGGGUGAGUAAUGUCUGGGAAACUGCCUGAUGGAGGGGGAUAACUACUGGAAACGGUAGCUAAUACCGCAUAACGUCGCAAGACCAAAGAGGGGGACCUUCGGGCCUCUUGCCAUCGGAUGUGCCCAGAUGGGAUUAGCUAGUAGGUGGGGUAACGGCUCACCUAGGCGACGAUCCCUAGCUGGUCUGAGAGGAUGACCAGCCACACUGGAACUGAGACACGGUCCAGACUCCUACGGGAGGCAGCAGUGGGGAAUAUUGCACAAUGGGCGCAAGCCUGAUGCAGCCAUGCCGCGUGUAUGAAGAAGGCCUUCGGGUUGUAAAGUACUUUCAGCGGGGAGGAAGGGAGUAAAGUUAAUACCUUUGCUCAUUGACGUUACCCGCAGAAGAAGCACCGGCUAACUCCGUGCCAGCAGCCGCGGUAAUACGGAGGGUGCAAGCGUUAAUCGGAAUUACUGGGCGUAAAGCGCACGCAGGCGGUUUGUUAAGUCAGAUGUGAAAUCCCCGGGCUCAACCUGGGAACUGCAUCUGAUACUGGCAAGCUUGAGUCUCGUAGAGGGGGGUAGAAUUCCAGGUGUAGCGGUGAAAUGCGUAGAGAUCUGGAGGAAUACCGGUGGCGAAGGCGGCCCCCUGGACGAAGACUGACGCUCAGGUGC
RNAcentral lists this ribosomal RNA (712 nucleotides) under Escherichia coli. RNAcentral's name for it is "bacterial SSU rRNA". It matches the Rfam family "Bacterial small subunit ribosomal RNA", at positions 53 to 754 of the family's 1533-position model. Lineage: Bacteria; Pseudomonadati; Pseudomonadota; Gammaproteobacteria; Enterobacterales; Enterobacteriaceae. The record is from RNAcentral.